CACGAACCGGACAAACGUUAUCCGGAAUCAUUGGGCGUAAAGAGCUCGUAGGCGGUUCAGCAAGUCGGCUGUGAAAGUCCGAGGCUCAACCUCGGAAUUGCAGUCGAUACUGCUGUGACUCGAGUCCGGUAGAGGAGAAUGGAAUUCUCGGUGUAGCGGUGAAAUGCGCAGAUAUCGAGAGGAACACCAGUAGCGAAGGCGGUUCUCUGGGCCGGCAACUGACGCUGAGGAGCGAAAGCGUGGGGAGCAAACAGG
Molecule: unclassified non-coding RNA, 255 nt
Filed under: uncultured Acidimicrobiia bacterium
Lineage: Bacteria; Bacillati; Actinomycetota; Acidimicrobiia
Description: contains 16S-23S intergenic spacer region
Rfam family: Bacterial small subunit ribosomal RNA
Source: RNAcentral